This 9083-nucleotide long non-coding RNA is filed under the name Amborella trichopoda. Its description in RNAcentral is "long non-coding RNA (ATRI_LNC004565)". Lineage: Eukaryota; Viridiplantae; Streptophyta; Magnoliopsida; Amborellales; Amborellaceae. The record is from RNAcentral.
UUAUGUUCCUUAAUACUAUCCUUUUCAUUCUCUUAUUCUUCCUUUUAACUCCCUCUUUGUGCUAUGUUCUAUGUUUGAUUUUGCACCUCAUGGUUUCUCUAUAUGUUCUUUCUGAGUUCAAUAAGUUACUAUGUUGGUCCCGAUUCUGGGGGCAUUCAUCUUUUGAUUUUGGCUUUUUUUCUUUACUUGUGAAUGACCAAAUUCAUUGAAUCUGUUUCCUCUAUUAAAAUUUGAAUGCUUUUGCAUUUUUCAAACAGUUUCAUUGGCAUUUGAAGUUAGUUUGAGAUCAAAAUCCAAGGUCUUAAUUCAAACUGUGGUGGAUAAGUUUUGUUUAAUGUUUUGGGUUACUGUCAUGGUUGAUCAAUGGUUGCGCACCUAUUUAUUGUCAAAUAGAAAAUCCCAUCUUUGUUUCUAGCCGUUGGAUGUCCCCAUCCAAGUUUGAUUGGAGUUCUUAAUAGAGGACAAAUCAGUGUAGUGUUUUUAUCUAUCACCUUUUCGAAAGCGUCACUGAGGCUCAAGCGGUACUAUCACUACAACCUCAACCCAUUCCCUUUUUGUCUCUCACCUUUACGUGUGAACCAAAGAGAGGCACAAUGCUUCACAACGCUAGGUUGUAUCCUGGUGGUAUCCUUGUCAAAGACCAAUUGUGCAUUGAGAAAUCAAGUAGGGCAUUCAAUGCCUUGAAUACAUCAAAAUAUUUUGUACCCUCCUGGUCCAAAUCAAGCAAGGCCCGUGUUAGGUUUUUGCUUGUUCAGCUUUGAAGUUUGUUUCGAUCAUGACUUAAUGUUUUUUCUACCUUGUUGGAAUUCUUGCCACGGUAAUGCAUUUGACUAUGUUCUAGCUGUGGUUGACUUGAGAGUUUCAUGCGAUGUGCGCUUUAUGCUCAGUCUUAUUGCUUCAUAAAACCAUACUUCAUCCAGCUGUUUUUCCUGCCGUUGAAAACAUAAACUGAGCAUUUAUUGUGCUUAAACAGUCAUGCUAUAGUUGACUAUUAACAUGCUAUAGUUGACUAUUAACAUCAUCAUUAUCAUCAGAGCCUUAUCCCAACUAUUUGGGGUCAGUAUAAUGUAGAUUCAAGAUUCAUGAAAAGUUUCGGUAAAGUUUUAUGCUGGCUGUCUACCUAACAUAACUCUACUCUCCUCCUUUACUUGGACUUGGGACCGGCAUAUGACUGGUAAGGGCCGGCCAAGGUGGAGUUCUACAGUUCACUAUUAACAUUGUGGUUAAACACUUAAUCACGAUGUUUUCACUGCAAUUAACAAUUCAUUCUGCAGCUGGCAUUUUUACCAUAGUUAAAAAAAAUUUAUCGAUAUUUCAUGGUUAACACUUAAUACUACAUGAGUUUUUUUACUGUAAGUGAUAGCUAAACUAAAAUCUCACCACAUUAAAUGUUUUUCGCCACAGUUAACGGUCCUUACUAUGGUUAAGUAGAAUUCCCACUAUGUAAAUGAUUCUUGACACGACUGUGUCCACUACAGUAAUUUAAGAGUUCAGACGCUCUUCUUUUGAUCUCUUGAUACUCAGUUCCUUGAUUCUUUAUGCAUCCGUUAUUUUGAGGCUAAAAGAUCCAAAAUCUGGCUUUUUAGGACCCCGCAAACAACAUUUUCUACCAUAGUGUAUAUCAAUUAACAACCUAACAACAUUUUCUACCAUGGUGUAUAUCAAUUAACAACCUUGUUAUUUCUUUUCAUUUCAAAUGUCCAUUUGAGAUGUUAUUUUGCAAGAAACCACAGGCCAAAUUAUAAUUUCAUGAUUAUUUCUACUCUACGUUUAGAGGAGUAACAUUGUACUAAAGAGCAUGAAUCUUCGGUAGUGAAGGCUUUAUCAUUGAUCAUUUUAAGGAACUAUGGAAUAGCAUAAUGCAAGGGCAUCUACCAUGAAAAAUGAAUGUGUUUCUUCACAUAAAUGUAGCAAACAAAACCCAGGAUCGUUAUUCUUAAUUUUUGAGUACUUUAGUGGUAGGAAUCAAAACUUGGAAUGUAGUUUUGCAAUCAUGGAUAACUGACCAAGCAAACCCAGGCCUGAAUACUGAAAACUCAGGAUCUCAUGUGUCCUCUGCAAGAUGGGACUUUUGUUUUGUACCAAGUUCAUCCAGAAGGUACUUGCUAUCCAACAUAUUGUCCUCAAGCAGGCACCUCAAGCUUGUUUUGAGAAAUUUGGUCAUUUCCUGGGGUUUAAGCUAAAGGAUGCUGCAGUGAAUGAUCCUUGUUCUUAAGAGCUCUUUGUCACAGAACCUUUCCACGGUCCUACCUGUGUUUAUGAUUACAUUAUUAUGGGAGAUGUCAAAGAUGGGAUGUAGUUAACAAUUAACCAGAGCAUGCGAACACGAGAGACAGAAGGAGGUUCACUACCUUGGAUAAAUUUUGAGAUGAGGAGCGUUUUUGAGUCUAAGGAUUACUUGUGGGAUAGAGAUUAACAGAUGAAGAUGGCCAUGCAUCUCAAAAUAGGUAUUCGUUAGCACCACUUCGCCAGCAAAUUUAUAAAACUGCAAACACCCGUUGCAGUAACAAAUUGUAGCUUGAGGAUCUUGUAAAUACAUGCAAGCACCUAACAACCUUGUAAGUUCUUGGAUGGUCUCAUGGGUGUACUAGAUGAAAUGGUUGGCUUGUGUUCUAGAGGCCUAGAUGCCUGGGUUCAUGUUCUAUAUGGUAAAUGGUCCUAUAUUGACUCAUUGUGUUCCACUAAGAUUCCCAACUCCUAGUAUGGCCUAUGGCGAGAAGUAAAGGCCUUGUUAACAUUGGAAACAAGAAUCGAGUAUUGAGGCAUGAGCACCAUAGCUACAAAGAAUCAAGAUGAUUCGUUGAUAAAUGAGGCUUACCAACUGGAGUUACAUUCUUUUUUUUGGGUAGUUCAGUGGGGAUGGGGUCCCUACCUGUAGUAGGAAUAGAACUUAAGACAUUAUGUUGUGGCGACCCACCACCCUGACCGCCUAGUCUUGAACCCAUCCUAGGAGAUAGGAGAUACAUUCUUAUGAUGUGAUAAACAAGGUUCAAAAUACCGGAGCUGCUGAGGUCCUAAUCCAUAUAGUACAAUAGUGGCCAAUAUAUCAGGGUUUAAGACAGAAUAAUAAAUUGAUAACUAAUUUUUGCAUAUAACAGGCAACACUCGAAAGUAUUUGGAUGUAAUGGACUUUCUGAUAGAUAUAAUGGUGCUUUUUUUUCCAUUAAUAUAUCUAAGAAAUAAUGGGCUUGUAACAUAUAUGAUCCACGACUGUUUGUACAAUGCCAAAAUGUAAUGGUCCCCAACAAGGCAAAGCACGUAGAUGUGUGGUGGCCUAUUUGUUCUCAGGUGAGCAGUUUCAAAGGAGAUUAAGGCAGAUCACUUGCCAUCCUUCCGAGUAAGCACCAGCCUGGUGAUAGAAGAGAAUUUUUAGUCAAGCUAGGAUCGAUAUCUUGUAUGCUCCACUUGGGGGAGAUAGUUUUAUGUGUGUGCUUCUUCAAUGCUUCAUAGAGAGUGACAACCUUCUCUUCAUUUGGUUUCAAUUUACAGUUUAUGAGCGAGUUGGUCAGAGUGGUGGCCCCUGGAGGCACCAUUAUCAUUGCGAGUUGGUGUCACAGGGAUCUGUCUCCUGAUGAAAAGUCGUUGCGUCCUGACGAGCUACAUAUCUUGAAUCGAGCGUGCAAUGCUUAUGAAAUUCCUGCCUGGUGUUCAAUGGCUGAUUACAUCAACUUGGCCCAGUCCUUUUCUCUCCAGGUACAUACAUGCAUACAUAUCGCUAUGCUACUCACUCAAAUAAAUAAAGUUGCAUAUGCGUAUUUGAGGAUGAUUAAUCUUCCACUCCUACUUUCUCUUCUCAGUAGAAAUACCAAAUUUAUACCCCUCUCUCUCUCUCUCUCUCUCUUUGCAGGAUAUCAAAACAGCUGACUGGUCCGAUAACAUAGCCCCGUUCUGGCCAGUAAUUUUACGCUCCUCCUUCACUUUUGAUGGCCUCACCUCGCUCUUUAAAUCUGGUAAGAUUCUCAUUUCUAAAUUCUUGUUCUUUCCCCAAGAAUCAUUUCUUCAAAUGGUUCACAAGACGUUGCAUGUGGCACUUUGCAUAUUGUUCAGUAGAUAAUUUUUCAUUUAUAUAGGAACUGGUUUAUCCUCAUCCGUGGUCUUUAACAAGGGGAAAGCAUUUUGUAAGGCCAUGGUUUUAUGGAACUGUAUCACAAAUCUCCCCAAAAAAUAUGGUUUCAAUGCUGGAUAACUUGCAAACAUAUCAUCUCAGCCUCAAGCAAUCAUGGAUAUGGAAAAAGUAAUGAAUCCAAAGUCCUCAAAAUAGUCUAUCUACUAUUCAGAACUGUUUAUUUCAAGUGUCUGCAGAUCUGUUAGAUCUAGAUCAUUUUUGGAACUUGAAAAAUUCAAUUGUUAGAGGUGGAAUAGAUUAGCACAUUGUUAUAAGAGUUUCUAGCAUUGGAACUGCAUUUUUCCAAUAGGGUUUCAAGGUUCAACUUUUACCAAAUAUCAGUAAGCCACUACGGCCAAAGCCCUACAAAUUCUCCUCCAUUUACCUUUUGUACAAGGAUGUCACAAUCAUUUUCGUGUUGUAAGAUUUCAUAAUGGGUGGUUGUAAGAGUGUCAUUGAUUAGAUAUAACGUUCCAAAAAAAAAAAAUUUCAAACUCUUUAACUCACCCUAAACCAUCCAGUUUGACAUCUAAUGAGUAGAAAUAGUUGUGUCCUCUUGUACAAAAGAUGAAAUGUCUCUUUAUGGACAAUCCCUUUAUGAAUAUGAAUCAUGAAUAAAGAAAUUUGUUUCCUGUACUAAAUCUUUUUUUUUAUUGCAAAUAGGAUGGAAAACCAUUAAACUUAUCCUUGGAUUGAGUGUGCUGAAAGAGGGUUACGACAAGAAGCUAAUCAAAUUCGCAAUUAUGACAUGUCGAAAACCCGAGUGAACACCAACAGCAGCUUGCCGGAGUGAACACCAACAGCAGCUUGCCGGAGUGCACACCAACAGCAGAGAAGAUCAGAAAAGAACCAUCGUUGUCAGCUAUUUUGAAUUUUUCGAACUCUAGGGUCUCUGCUUUCGCUUCAAGGUGUACUACAAUAAGCCACAUUGUCUAUAUUCAAAUGAUCGUGGGAAUUUCCAGUUUUCAUUACAAAAUUUUCCACUUUUCCUAUUCAAAUUGAAUGGGUAAAAUGAAUAUAAAGCGCGUGGAGAGCAGAUGGGGAAAUUGCAGUAUAUCUCGAUGACUGUCACAAGACUGCCGGUAAUCGUAAGUUGGUAACAAGCAAAGUAACACCAAUUUGUCAAUAAAAGGAAAUUGACUUCAUGUUAUGAUAACAUUCGGAGGUGCGUCUAAAUUGGAUUGGAGUCUGUCCAUUUUCAAGAUUUUUAUAUAUUUAUAGAUCUUCUUGAUUUUAGCGGUUGGAGUUUAAAAUUUUAUAUUUAAAUAUGAAAAUAGAUUUUGAGAUAAUCUUAAGAAAUUUUUACACCAAAAUUUCAUGUUAUGAUAUCAUUUGGAGGUGUGUCUUGGAUUGUUUAAGGUUGCAACCUAUAUAUAUAGGUAGAAAAGAUCAUGUCAGACAAUGGCCAGAUUGAAUUUGAGUUCAUCUGACGGUUAUAAUUUUAUUUUAUGUUUGAAUUUUCAAUUUUUUUUUAAAUCCAAAUCACUUGAAAUUUGGAGCGUCUAUUUUUUAACAAUAGAAUAAUAUAAUAAAAAUAUAUAAAAAAAUAAUUCGUAAAAUAUAAAUUGACCAAAAUACUCUUAAAAUGUUUUAGGGGUAUUUUGGUUAAUUUAUAUUUUGUGAAUUAUUAUUUUUUCCAUUCUUAUUAGGUGCGCUUUGAUGAGAAGAAUGAACGCAUAAAAUUUCAAGUGAUUUGGAUUUGUUAAAAAAAAUAUAUAUAAAUUCGAAUACGAAAUGAGUAACUAUCAGAUUAGCCUAGAUUGAAUCUGGACCACUCGCUGACACUGUAGCAGUCAGUCAGUGGGUUGAUAGAAUCCACUAUAUAUAUAUAUAUAUAUAUAUAUAUAUAUAUAUAUAUAUAUAUAUAUUAUUGUAUUGUAUGUAUUCAUAUAGUAGUAUGUAUUCUUAUUUUACUUUUUAAUUUGCUAGUUGGUUGUUUAGUAAUACGNNNNNNNNNNNNNNNNNNNNCCUAUCCCCCUGUGUGCCUUGCCUCCCACGUACUUUUGCAUUGGUGUUUGUAAUGACCUAACUUUUUCACAUUUAUAACAUUACUGGUAAGUUUCCUUUUAUUUUUAGUAUUUGGAGAGAAUUUGUUUAUAAAUUUUUGUUUAGACUUUUUAUAUUGUUUAUGUGCUUUAUUGGAUUUGGAUUUAUAUUUGUUUUUUUUGUAUUUUUUCUUUUUCUUAUAUAACUUUUCAUGUUUAUUUUUUCUAUCUCAAUGGUAUCCAAAUUGUUCACAGAAAUCAUCAAGUUCUUUUUGCUUGGUAAUUUGCUGUUUAUCUAACUGUCUUUUGAGUUUAAGAUCAGUACAUAAAGCUAAUCCUUCAGCACAUAUUUCUGCUGAUAGUUCUCCAAGUGUAUAAGCCGAGUAUACUAUAACUCCAUUAUGGUUCUUUCUAAGUCUUUCUUUGACUUUUUCGGUAAAUAAGUAUGGUAAACCAGCAAUAAAUUUUUCUUUUCAAUGGUCUAAUUGACAAUCUUUUCGUAUUAGUAAUAUUGAGAAAAAGACAUUCUUAUACCAUUUAUAAUGGGAUAAUGUAGGACAACGAAGAUUGGAUAGCAGAUCUCUGAUCUUGUUGCCAAUAGGGCAGUACUUCUUACAAAAUGUAAUGUAAUUGUAUAUAUUAAGGUGUUUACUGCAACACUUUCAGUAUAGAUUAUUUCUUGAUUUUGUUCAUUUCUGGCGGUCCAUUGUCUUGUAUUGGUAAGGAUUCUAUUUUUGGUUUCAUCAUCCACAUAGAAAUCCCACCAGCCUCUUAACCAGCCAGUGAAUCCAUUUACUAUUGCUUUGGCAACUUGGUCUGGGUUGCUUGCCAUUUUGUUUGCUAAAGCAAACAUUGUCAUAUGUCUCAUGACAUCUAGUAUUUUUAAUUCAGAUAAACCAUCUAUUGUCCAAUUAACUAUUGAUCUACCUGAAUAGAAAACAACUUGUUGUAUGGCAUCUUCUUCAAGUUGUACAUCAACAGGUGUAAGUCUCUUAUAAUAUGGUAAAGUUGUGAUUGGUUUCCAUGUUUUACCAUAGGCGAUUCUGUUUAUAUCCAUAGGUGUAGUAUCCAUGAAAGCAGAUUCUUGGUUUUGUAUGGUAUCUUCUAUAAUUGGUUCUUCUUCUUGGAGCAUCAUUGUUUCAUGCUCAGGUAUCUUUAUUUUUCCUUAAUCUGAAGAUUCUGGGAUAGUUGGUAAAGGUUUUAUUAUUUUCGCCGAUAUGGAAUUUAUUUUUAUUGAGUUCUGGAGGUGGUUUAAACAAAACUGCUUUAGGAGUUAUUCCCUUAGUUUGAGGAGUAACUAAUCGUUCUAUACGUUCUGCUUGUUUUCCUAAAGAUUGCAUAUAUAAAUUAGUAUAAUUGUUUUGUUCCACGAUAUGAGGUAUUAGUUCUUGUUUUUACCUAUUUUUUUAGGUAGGACUUUAUAUGGUGUUGCAAUAAUAUCAUAUAGAGAUUGUGGUGCUUCUCCUUUGCUUAAUGGGGUUAUGGCACUUUUGAGUAUUAUACUUUUUUCAAGAGGGUGUGUACUAGCAGUAGUAGUACCAUCCGUACUAAUAUAUGUUUUUUCUUCUAUGGUUUGAAGAGUAUUAAAUGGAGGAAUGUUUAUUUUAUAUUGAGUACAUAUUUCUUAUAACCAUAUAAAAAAUCCUUUUGUUUCUCUUUCUUUUUUCAGAAAUUUGUUAUAUUUUUUAUGGAAUAAUUCUAUUAACCUAGGUUGAAAAGUUUGAAGAUACCAUUCCCUAAUACCUUGAUUUUCUAGAGAAAGAUAAUCUUUUUUGAGAUAUUGAAUAUCUAUUUUUCUCUUUCUUCGUUCUAAUUUAGCAGUUAAAUAUGUUUCUAUAUGUGUAUCAUAUGCAUUAUUAUUAUUUAUAUCUUCUUCUAUAUCAUCUUCUAUUUAUAAUGUAAGUAUUUGAAAUUCAGCUAUGUCAGGUUCAGAUGUAUAUGUAGGAAUGACUACAUGAUCAGCUGUUCUUUUGACUCCUUGUAAUUGGAAGUCUGAAGAUGUUGUAGGUAUUGUCGGAGAAUAAAGUAUGAUAACAUCGGGAGUAGUAUGACAAGAUUUUCUAGCAGGUAUUAAUGGUUUUUUAUUUCUUUUCCUAUUAAUAUCUAUAUCAUCCUGUACUAUAGGCUGUUGGAAUUUUAUUUCAAUAUUUCCAUCUUGAUGUUCUAUCAUUUGGUUUGGAAUAUUAUUCACAGGUACUUCUCUGGGCUGGUUUGCAUUUUGCAAUGCCCAUGAUUGAGGUAGAAUAAUAUCGGACCAAGUAAUGGUUUUUGGUAUAAUCGUAUUUGAUUUUUCUAAAUUUGUUUGAAAUAAUAUAGUUUGAUCCUUUUUAUCAGCUUGCAUAAUAUUAGGACAGAGAGUAUUCAUUACUUUAUAAUAAAUUCUGUAUACUAUUGCCAAAUUCUGAGAACCAUGUAUCAUAUUAAAUCCAUGAGUUUUCAAAUUUGUAGUUAAUAUAUCUAAUAUAUUUGGGUCGGUUAAAGAAACAGAAAAAUUUGGAAACUUAUUGUGUCUUGUAUCUCUUAGGCAUACAAGCACUGAAGUGUUUAACCCUAAACGAGUUAAAGGUUUAAUGACUAUUUGGAUUAAUUCAAUGUGCAAAUAUUUUCUUUAUGUUUUUCAAUCAUUUUUCUUGAUAAUAAUUGAAAGUCUUCUUGGUUUUGAGUUACAGAUAGACUUUCUUCUACUGUUUUUAUAGCAUAACCUAAUUUAAAUUUGAAUGAUCCUUUCUAGUAAAUAUCUUUUAUUGGUACUUUAGGAAUAUUCCAAUUUUGGAUAUGAUGUUCAAUAUCAUUUAUGAUGAUCUCCUCUUUAUUUUUAACUCUUAAUGUUUGAGUUUGAGUUGCAGUAUUACCUUUAAGAUUCCUAAUUAAAUUUGCCAUCUGUAGGUUGCAGAUAAUGACAAUCUGGACGAUCAAGGGUCCAGCGUGUUCCCCUAAGCGGCUCUUCCUGGCCUUGACGGGUACUUUGCCUAGACUUUUCUUUUCGUCUCUUG